CAGUCGCCGCGGGAAUACGUAGGUGGCAAGCGUUGUCCGGAAUUAUUGGGCGUAAAGGGCUCGCAGGCGGUUUCUUAAGUCUGAUGUGAAAGCCCCCGGCUCAACCGGGGAGGGUCAUUGGAAACUGGGAAACUUGAGUGCAGAAGGGGAGAGUGGAAUUCCACGUGUAGCGGUGAAAUGCGUAGAGAUGUGGAGGAACACCAGUGGCGAAGGCGACUCUCUGGUCUGUAACUGACGCUGAGGAGCGAAAGCGUGGGGAGCGAACAGGAUUAGAUACCCCAGUAGUCCCUGUCUCUUAUAC
Molecule: ribosomal RNA, 301 nt
Filed under: uncultured bacterium
Lineage: Bacteria
Description: partial 16S ribosomal RNA
Rfam family: Bacterial small subunit ribosomal RNA
Source: RNAcentral